This 1231-nucleotide long non-coding RNA is filed under the name Capsicum annuum. RNAcentral describes it as "long non-coding RNA (CANN_LNC017404)". Lineage: Eukaryota; Viridiplantae; Streptophyta; Magnoliopsida; Solanales; Solanaceae. The record is from RNAcentral.
UGCCUACUUCCAAUCCCCUUGGGUUUCAAAGUUUUCUUAGAUCUUUUCAGAGUGUAGCCCGAGUACAAUGGUGGUAAACAAAUUCUGAAAACUUAUUUUGUUUUUUAGAUCUUAUGACAUAGCCUUAGUUUAUAUUACAAAGUUGACUCGAUCUUAUUCUUGUAUAACUAUUGUAAACUAAGAAGAACAAAGCUCUGUGAGGUUAAGAUUGAGACACUCUAAGAUUCUCUUUUGAAGUUGUGUGAGUGCUUCGACCUUUGGUUUUCUUUUUUAUAAUCUUCAGCUAUUUUGGCUUCUAUCUUCAUAAGAAAAUCCAAGAGAUUUCUUCUCAAUCAAGAAUUUAAAUUUAUUUCUUGAUUGAGGAAUGACACCAUAAAGUAUGUUCAUAUCAGAUAUGUCUAUAUGCGGUACAGCUUCAUACAUGUCCAUAUCAAAUAUUUCCAUGUAGAGGGUGUGGUCUUCUUUUCUUUUGCUCCAGUCUUGAUUGAUUCAUUUGCCAUAAUUUUGGGAAGCCAAUAAUAUCCGUGAUAGAUACUGUGAUCUUCUUUCCUUUUUCUCUUAUCUUAAUUGAUUUGCUUGCCAUAAAUCUUAAAAUCCAAUAAUCUCCUUGAUUGAUACUCUUCCAAUCUUGGUGUCGGCUUUCGUAUGAAAAAGUGCUUGCUUUCUUUAUAAAUUGAUUUUUUUUAAUCUUUUGUAUCUUCAGUGUAUCCUAAAAGAUAUUUGUUUAUUAAUUAGUCCUUUUUAAAAAAUAUAGUGAGAAUAUAGGGCUAACAAUCUCCCCUUUUCUAAUAAUGACAAAUAAUAAACAUCAGCUGACUUUCCUGUUUUUGAUGAUGUGCUUCCCUGUCUUGCAAGCGCCUCUGAUGUUCUUGUUUCUAUUUUCUUUGAGCAUCAGUUAACUCUCAUUCUUUGAUAUUUGGCUUGAUCCCCCCGACUUGCAGGCACCUCUGAUGUUCCUCCUUUCGUUGAGCAUCAGUUGACUCUCAUCGUUUGAUAGUCAACUUGCUCCCCUUGACUUACAAGAACCUCUGGUGUUCCUGCCUUUCUCCCCCAUUUGGCAUAAUAAAAAAGAAUAACACAACAGAUAGGAAAAAAAAUUGUAAACAUAUAGUAGAUAAACAAUCUAAUUGAUUACCAAUGAAUAAACAAAAUAAUAAAAAUAUUAUGGCAAACAGUGUGUAAAAAUCAUUUUACAACCUGCCUCCAUCCCCCUCCCAAAAAAAAAGAUAGG